Felis catus (domestic cat) is the source of this 1760-nucleotide long non-coding RNA. RefSeq lists it as uncharacterized. Lineage: Eukaryota; Metazoa; Chordata; Mammalia; Carnivora; Felidae. The record is from RefSeq and is a predicted model, not a curated record. The transcript is spliced from 2 exons.
CGACGUAACAGUGACUAGGAGGCCUUCCUGUGGUUUGGGGUGGACAGGGAAGCCCUCUGAGGAAGUGGCCAAACAGCAGGAGGCACAGAGCAAUGCAAAUAAUGCAGAAGUCCCAAGGCAGGAAGAGCCCAGUUCGGCCCAGAAUACAAAGGAGGAGAGAUUCAAAACACAGCAACACAGAGACAGAUAUGGGGAGAAGGAAGACAUCCAAGUGAAGAUAUCAAGGAGACAUUCAGGCAUGGGUCUGGCGCUCACUGGAAAGUUUGAGGCUGGAGACAUGAAUUUGGAAAUCACUGCCAUCCAGAUGUACUUGACAGAAUGAAGACGGGGACAAGAGCAAUGACCAAGUCUGAGGCAGUCACUAAGAGGUCUGACAAAGGAUAAGGUGGUAGGUCUGGGGAAAACAAAGGUGUGUUAUCGUUCAAGAGAACAAAGAUGCGGGCAUGAUGCAAAGGCUGGUCAACAUCAAAGGAGAGAAGGAUGAGUGAAGCAAUGCGUGGUUUAGCAACAUGGAAAUCAAUGGCCCUAUAACAAGAUAAUGCUUAUUCACAUGAAUAAAAUAAAUGCAUAAAUAUCAAGUCAUUAUGUUGUAUAGCUUAAACUUACACAACAUGUCCUAUCUCCAUAAAACUGGAAAAUACAGCGAGAAAACCCAGGGAAGAGACAGGGAAGCUAACUGUUCGUCAGGAUGGGUCAUAUCCAUAAGCCGAACAUAAAACAUCUUCUGUCAUUUAUGUGCCAUUUAAAAGAAGACUGAAGAGUUAAAUAUAAACUAUCCCUGGAAACAAGAAAUGAAUAAAAUAUCAACAUAAUUAUUUUCCUCCUCUCAGACUGGUUAGCAGUACGGGGGCAAGGGGCCAGGCUCUCUUAAAAUGAUUUAAGUUGAGAGUAGAAAUGGUUUAUACAUAAAAUAAAUCCAUGGGGACACAGAAUAUAGUCAAUAAUGUAUUAACUUUGUAUGGUGACAGAUGGUAACAAGAUUUAUAUGGUAAUCCUUUCACAAUGUAUAUAAACAUCAAAUCACCGUGUUGUCCACCUGAAAUUGGCAUUGCAUUUCAGUUAUACUUCAGUAAAAAAGUGUAAAUGUAAAUUGGCAGAGUAUUUCUGGAGGGCAACAGUGAUCAAGAUGUAUUGUGUUUAUACUUUGUAAAAUUCACUUUCUUGGGUUUCUUCCUAAGGAAAUAAGUGGAAAUAGAAAAAAUGAAUUAUAAGAGAAUGUUCAAAACAAAGUUGUUCACAAUAGGAGAAAACUGUAAACAGCGUAAUUUUUCAUCAGUAGAGGAUGGAUUAUGGCACAUCCAACACGCUGAAACAGAAGGUCUUUUAAGAGGGUAACCAGAACGUCCAAGGAGCUCCACGUGUUUGAUUUGCCACCACAUAUGCAGUGUCUGAUAUGUGACAGCUGCUUACAAAUACUGACUGAAUGACCAACUAUUUUUAUAGAGACAUGAAAAUAUAUUCACAUUAUACUGAGAAGAGAAAAAAAAGCGACUUAGAAAACAGCAUGUAAAACACACCCACGUAUGUUUAACGAUGGUGUUACAUGCUUGUAUCUCUGGACACAAAUGUCCCUGAAGGACACCUUUGAAACUUGACUAGAGAAAGGACCCUGGCAAGCAUCAGUUAGGGAGACCCAUUUUCUUCUUUAAAUAACAUUGUUUGAAAUUUCUCCACGCGUACGUACAACCUUGGGUUUUUUGUUAUGUUGUUUUCCAUUUCUUCAAGUAUGUUUGAAUGAAUAAAAGAUUUGGAAAGAUCUA